Molecule: ribosomal RNA, 107 nt
Filed under: Chinchilla lanigera (long-tailed chinchilla)
Lineage: Eukaryota; Metazoa; Chordata; Mammalia; Rodentia; Chinchillidae
Source: RNAcentral
AUCUAUAGCUAUACCACCCUGGAUGUACCAGAUCUCAUAAGCUAAGCAGGGUUAGGCCUGGUUAGUGCAUGGAUGGGAGACUGAGAAUGCUGCAGAAGUUCUAAAAU